GGGUUGUGAGGUUAAGCGACUAAGCGUACACGGUGGAUGCCCUGGCAGUCAGAGGCGAUGAAGGGCGUGCUAAUCUGCGAUAAGCGCCGGUAAGGUGAUAUGAACCGUUAUAACCGGCGAUACCCGAAUGGGGAAACCCAGUGUGACUCGUCACACUAUCAUUAACUGAAUCCAUAGGUUAAUGAGGCGAACCGGGGGAACUGAAACAUCUAAGUACCCCGAGGAAAAGAAAUCAACCGAGAUUCCCCCAGUAGCGGCGAGCGAACGGGGAGGAGCCCAGAGCCUGAAUCAGCAUGUGUGUUAGUGGAAGCGUCUGGAAAGGCGCGCGAUACAGGGUGACAGCCCCGUACACAAAAGCGCAUGUGCUGUGAGCUCGAUGAGUAGGGCGGGACACGUGGUAUCCUGUCUGAAUAUGGGGGGACCAUCCUCCAAGGCUAAAUACUCCUGACUGACCGAUAGUGAACCAGUACCGUGAGGGAAAGGCGAAAAGAACCCCGGCGAGGGGAGUGAAAAAGAACCUGAAACCGUGUACGUACAAGCAGUGGGAGCCCCACCACCAAAGCAUUCUCUGGUGUUGAAGGCCCUGCAAAGCAGCAUCGCGGUGGCGGAGCGUCGUUUGCGACGCCCAACACACAAAACAAGCGGUGAAUGCUUUGGGGUGGGGUGACUGCGUACCUUUUGUAUAAUGGGUCAGCGACUUAUAUUCUGUAGCAAGGUUAACCGAAUAGGGGAGCCGGAGGGAAACCGAGUCUUAAUUGGGCGUUAAGUUGCAGGGUAUAGACCCGAAACCCGGUGAUCUAGCCAUGGGCAGGUUGAAGGUUGGGUAACACUAACUGGAGGACCGAACCGACUAAUGUUGAAAAAUUAGCGGAUGACCUGUGGCUGGGGGUGAAAGGCCAAUCAAACCGGGAGAUAGCUGGUUCUCCCCGAAAGCUAUUUAGGUAGCGCCUCGUGAAUUCAUCUCCGGGGGUAGAGCACUGUUUCGGCUAGGGGGCCAUCCCGGCUUACCAACCCGAUGCAAACUGCGAAUACCGGAGAAUGUUAUCACGGGAGACACACGGCGGGUGCUAACGUCCGUCGUGAAGAGGGAAACAACCCAGACCGCCAGCUAAGGUCCCAAAGUCAUGGUUAAGUGGGAAACGAUGUGGGAAGGCCCAGACAGCCAGGAUGUUGGCUUAGAAGCAGCCAUCAUUUAAAGAAAGCGUAAUAGCUCACUGGUCGAGUCGGCCUGCGCGGAAGAUGUAACGGGGCUAAACCAUGCACCGAAGCUGCGGCAGCGACGCUGAUGCGUUGUUGGGUAGGGGAGCGUUCUGUAAGCCUGUGAAGGUGUGUCGUGAGGCAUGCUGGAGGUAUCAGAAGUGCGAAUGCUGACAUAAGUAACGAUAAAGCGGGUGAAAAGCCCGCUCGCCGGAAGACCAAGGGUUCCUGUCCAACGUUAAUCGGGGCAGGGUGAGUCGACCCCUAAGGCGAGGCCGAAAGGCGUAGUCGAUGGGAAACGGGUUAAUAUUCCCGUACUUGGUGUUACUGCGAAGGGGGGACGGAGAAGGCUAUGUUGGCCGGGCGACGGUUGUCCCGGUUUAAGCGUGUAGGUGUGUGUUCCAGGUAAAUCCGGUUCACUUUAACACUGAGGCGUGACGACGAGGCACUACGGUGCUGAAGCAACAAAUGCCCUGCUUCCAGGAAAAGCCUCUAAGCAUCAGGUAACACGAAAUCGUACCCCAAACCGACACAGGUGGUCAGGUAGAGAAUACCAAGGCGCUUGAGAGAACUCGGGUGAAGGAACUAGGCAAAAUGGUGCCGUAACUUCGGGAGAAGGCACGCUGACACGUAGGUGAAGUGAUUUACUCAUGGAGCUGAAGUCAGUCGAAGAUACCAGCUGGCUGCAACUGUUUAUUAAAAACACAGCACUGUGCAAACACGAAAGUGGACGUAUACGGUGUGACGCCUGCCCGGUGCCGGAAGGUUAAUUGAUGGGGUCAGCGUAAGCGAAGCUCCUGAUCGAAGCCCCGGUAAACGGCGGCCGUAACUAUAACGGUCCUAAGGUAGCGAAAUUCCUUGUCGGGUAAGUUCCGACCUGCACGAAUGGCGUAAUGAUGGCCAGGCUGUCUCCACCCGAGACUCAGUGAAAUUGAACUCGCUGUGAAGAUGCAGUGUACCCGCGGCAAGACGGAAAGACCCCGUGAACCUUUACUAUAGCUUGACACUGAACAUUGAGCCUUGAUGUGUAGGAUAGGUGGGAGGCUUUGAAGUGUGGACGCCAGUCUGCAUGGAGCCGACCUUGAAAUACCACCCUUUAAUGUUUGAUGUUCUAACGUGGACCCGUAAUCCGGGUUGCGGACAGUGUCUGGUGGGUAGUUUGACUGGGGCGGUCUCCUCCUAAAGAGUAACGGAGGAGCACGAAGGUUGGCUAAUCCUGGUCGGACAUCAGGAGGUUAGUGCAAUGGCAUAAGCCAGCUUGACUGCGAGCGUGACGGCGCGAGCAGGUGCGAAAGCAGGUCAUAGUGAUCCGGUGGUUCUGAAUGGAAGGGCCAUCGCUCAACGGAUAAAAGGUACUCCGGGGAUAACAGGCUGAUACCGCCCAAGAGUUCAUAUCGACGGCGGUGUUUGGCACCUCGAUGUCGGCUCAUCACAUCCUGGGGCUGAAGUAGGUCCCAAGGGUAUGGCUGUUCGCCAUUUAAAGUGGUACGCGAGCUGGGUUUAGAACGUCGUGAGACAGUUCGGUCCCUAUCUGCCGUGGGCGCUGGAGAACUGAGGGGGGCUGCUCCUAGUACGAGAGGACCGGAGUGGACGCAUCACUGGUGUUCGGGUUGUCAUGCCAAUGGCACUGCCCGGUAGCUAAAUGCGGAAGAGAUAAGUGCUGAAAGCAUCUAAGCACGAAACUUGCCCCGAGAUGAGUUCUCCCUGAGACUUUAGGUCUCCUGAAGGAACGUUGAAGACGACGACGUUGAUAGGCCGGGUGUGUAAGCGCAGCGAUGCGUUGAGCUAACCGGUACUAAUGAACCGUGAGGCUUAACCUUACAACGCCGAAG
Molecule: ribosomal RNA, 3029 nt
Filed under: Salmonella enterica
Lineage: Bacteria; Pseudomonadati; Pseudomonadota; Gammaproteobacteria; Enterobacterales; Enterobacteriaceae
Also listed under: 4 other names
Description: bacterial LSU rRNA
Rfam family: Bacterial large subunit ribosomal RNA
Source: RNAcentral